Long non-coding RNA from Harpia harpyja (harpy eagle), 1661 nucleotides. RefSeq lists it as uncharacterized. The transcript has 4 exons. The record is from RefSeq and is a predicted model, not a curated record. Lineage: Eukaryota; Metazoa; Chordata; Aves; Accipitriformes; Accipitridae.
AGGAUUGAAGAGAAAACCAAACUUAAUAAGCUCCAGGUUUCCCCUGGCCGUACACUGGUGCCCACACUGAAGAGUAGCAGGUGUAAUAAUCGGAGGGUCUGAAAAGCCUUGACAGUGUCUCCACAACAUCCCCUAUCCAAGGCCUGAGCAAACAGCAGACCUCCUAGAUGAUGGAUCAGGUUGGCAGAACAACUACACCACCGGGUCUGCUCCAUUAAGAAGUGAUACACGAGGAUUGUGUGUUUCUAUGGACAACGUGCUAAUUCUGAAUUACCCAGGGUACACCAAGAGCAGUUUCUCAUCAUGCCUUAAGCAAUAAGAGGAGACUGAACAUCUUAGAGUUUUAUUUGGCCUUCUGUGACGCUUCUCCUCCUCGGGUCAAGCAGAAGAGUGGACUGGAAUCAAAGAUCUAUCACUAAAAUGACUUGGCCUCAGAAGGGCACUCACUUGACGGCAGGUGGCAAUCGAACAGUCGGCACGAGCGAGCCUGCGGUGAGAUGUGGGCUUUCCCAGCUCAACCUCUGCAAGGAGCUGAAGUGAUGUGGCUGUCCUUGUCCUACCCUGCUCAGCACGGCAGACCCACCCUCAGCCUGACGUUGCUUGGGGCAAGGUCACACUCGUGUCACCAUUGUGUCCUGACCAGAACAAGGAGCUUUUUCGCAGGCAGUGCUCCAAAAUGCUGCUCGCAGGUACUUUCCAGGCUGUUUGUUCCAGAUCAGUUAGUGGAUUUUGAGGAUUUUAGAUUAGGGGAAAUAUCUGAAGGUAGCUCUGAGGCACUCCCGUGUCAGACGCGCACAUGGUUCAAGGGUCUGAAGUAUGUGUCAGUUAUCUCCUGGCUGCUUUGCCCCAAGGGACAGAACGCGGGGCUGAAGAAGGGGAGGAAAGGCCAGCUUCCCGAGGCUAAGCUGGGAGAUGGAGCAUCCUGGAACGGUGUCAAGUCCCGCUGGAGAUGUCAGCAGGGUCUCCCCUUCAGUAAACCCUUAGGGGUCAUUAGGUGAUGUUUCUUUCUUGGCACAGCUGCAAAUAUGGUCCAUUGCCUUUGUUUUGCUCUGCUAGCAUUGUUUUCCCACUGACUUUAGUGUUGAUCUAAUGUAACUGUUGCAUCUCAUUCCCAUCCAAAGAUGAGGUAUAAUCUGAGGGAGGCCUGUUUUUCAUUAGCGUUGAACUUGCAGCACAGGAACUUUCUCUGACGCAGUUCACAAGGGGGUGAGGAGGUGGGAGGGAGGGUUAGUUAUUACCUCUGUUUCCUCUGCUGGAGCAUGGGCUUCUCUACCGAGCUCUGCCAUCUCUCCCAGGGGCCAGCAACUAAUUCCUCCAUACCCCUGCACACCGGAGCCUCUCUUUAGAAGAGACUUCCAAUCAUGACAAAUUAUCUGUGCUGAUUUUGUGACAUGAACUGUUACCCAUUAGGGAAUGAACUGACACCAAUAAAUUCAUUUCACUUACAACCUCACACUGUGCAUGAAUUGAAGUUCUAGAGGUGAAAGACAUAAAUUUACCAGGUGGGCAGACACACAGCUUCCCCCUAAGACUGUGCACUUCACCUUUGCUACGUGCGCUGCUUCUGCUGGGCCAGCCCAACAUUAAUUUUGCAUAGAGUAGAUUUCUCCUGUACCGCGCACAAUCCGUAUGAUUUAUACUUGCCUCGAGUAGCUGUGUGA